UGUGUCCUACGGGAGGCAGCAGUGAGGAAUAUUGGUCAAUGGCCGAGAGGCUGAACCAGCCAAGUCGCGUGAGGGAAGACGGCCCCACGGGUUGUAAACCUCUUUUGUCGGGGAGCAAAGCGAACCACCUGUGGUUCAUUGAGAGUACCCGAAGAAAGAGCAUCGGCUAACUCCGUGCCAGCAGCCGCGGUAAUACGGAGGAUGCGAGCGUUAUCCGGAUUUAUUGGGUUUAAAGGGUGCGCAGGCGGAGGUGCAAGUCAGCGGGCAAAUUGCUGGGCUCAACCCCGUACUGCCG
Molecule: ribosomal RNA, 295 nt
Filed under: uncultured bacterium
Lineage: Bacteria
Description: partial 16S ribosomal RNA
Rfam family: Bacterial small subunit ribosomal RNA
Source: RNAcentral